RNAcentral lists this long non-coding RNA (743 nucleotides) under Accipiter nisus (Eurasian sparrowhawk). Its description in RNAcentral is "lncRNA (ENSANIG00000009350.1)". Lineage: Eukaryota; Metazoa; Chordata; Aves; Accipitriformes; Accipitridae. The record is from RNAcentral.
CGUUCUUGCCAAAUCUUCGAUAGCGUCUCAGCAAAGAAACCUGCAGCCGUACGAGCUUGCUUUUCAGUACCGAUAUUUUGCACAGUUCUGAUUUAUAGUUUGGAGUGUAAUGAGAGGGUCUUGCAGCUUUUCUUUUUGUUUGUUUGUUUUUUUUCCCCAAGAAAUUGCUGUUGAACAAGAAGACUUGCAAGACAGUGAAGGUUUCUAUCAGCUGAGAUCAACACUGGUGUUGCAAGGGACCCAGCAGACACAUAAGAUAUUCUCGUGUGCAUGUCUGUUUUCCUUCCUCGGGAAUGAAACAUGGAAUAUUUCAUCAGAAGAAAUAUUUGUUUCCUUCGACAAUAAGUCUAAUGAAACCUCAUCCAGAGCUUUUACCACCAUGGCUUUAGAAGGUAGGAUAAAUUAGAGAACAAAAUAACUUGGGUUAUGUUAGAGGUGCAUCUAUAAAUUCCUAAAGCUGUUGGAGAAAUGUUUUUGCAAACUUGGUUCUGGAUGAGUAGUAAGGUACCCCUUUCUGCAGCUAUGACUUCAGAGAAAAUAUAAUAAACAGAUAUUUUGGUGGUGUAAUCUAUCAUAAUUAAGCCCAAGCAUAAUUAAACUCCAGCCUCGAGGGGCACAAUGUUAUUUCUGCAUUUCGGCUGGCAUUUGAAUAUAGCUUUUUCAGCACCGAACUGGUAAUUAAAAAUAACAGCCCUAUAAUGGUUCUACCUUCUGCUUAAGUCCACAGCCAAGAUCCUCAACAC